GGAGCUUGCUCCACCGGGAAAGAGGAGUGGCGAACGGGUGAGUAACACGUGGGUAACCUGCCCAUCAGAAGGGGAUAACACUUGGAAACAGGUGCUAAUACCGUAUAACAAUCGAAACCGCAUGGUUUCGUUUUGAAAGGCGCUUUACGGUGCCGCUGAUGGAUGGACCCGCGGUGCAUUAGCUAGUUGGUGAGGUAACGGCUCACCAAGGCCACGAUGCAUAGCCGACCUGAGAGGGUGAUCGGCCACAUUGGGACUGAGACACGGCCCAAACUCCUACGGGAGGCAGCAGUAGGGAAUCUUCGGCAAUGGACGAAAGUCUGACCGAGCAACGCCGCGUGAGUGAAGAAGGUUUUCGGAUCGUAAAACUCUGUUGUUAGAGAAGAACAAGGGUGAGAGUAACUGUUCACCCCUUGACGGUAUCUAACCAGAAAGCCACGGCUAACUACGUGCCAGCAGCCGCGGUAAUACGUAGGUGGCAAGCGUUGUCCGGAUUUAUUGGGCGUAAAGCGAGCGCAGGCGGUUUCUUAAGUCUGAUGUGAAAGCCCCCGGCUCAACCGGGGAGGGUCAUUGGAACUGGGAGACUUGAGUGCAGAAGAGGAGAGUGGAAUUCCAUGUGUAGCGGUGAAAUG
Molecule: ribosomal RNA, 632 nt
Filed under: Enterococcus mundtii
Lineage: Bacteria; Bacillati; Bacillota; Bacilli; Lactobacillales; Enterococcaceae
Description: bacterial SSU rRNA
Rfam family: Bacterial small subunit ribosomal RNA
Source: RNAcentral